This 442-nucleotide ribosomal RNA is filed under the name uncultured Curtobacterium sp. RNAcentral describes it as "bacterial SSU rRNA". It matches the Rfam family "Bacterial small subunit ribosomal RNA", at positions 939 to 1382 of the family's 1533-position model. Lineage: Bacteria; Bacillati; Actinomycetota; Actinomycetes; Micrococcales; Microbacteriaceae. The record is from RNAcentral.
AUGCGGAUUAAUUCGAUGCAACGCGAAGAACCUUACCAAGGCUUGACAUACACCGGUAACGCCCAGAGAUGGGUGCCCCUUUGUGGUCGGUGGACAGGUGGUGCAUGGUUGUCGUCAGCUCGUGUCGUGAGAUGUUGGGUUAAGUCCCGCAACGAGCGCAACCCUCGUCCUAUGUUGCCAGCGGGUCAUGCCGGGGACUCAUGGGAGACGUGCCGGGGUCAACUCGGAGGAAGGUGGGGAUGACGUCAAAUCAUCAUGCCCCUUAUGUCUUGGGCUUCACGCAUGCUACAAUGGCCGGUACAAAGGGCUGCGAUACCGCGAGGUGGAGCGAAUCCCAGAAAGCCGGUCUCAGUUCGGAUUGGGGUCUGCAACUCGACCCAUGAAGUCGGAGUCGCUAGUAAUCGUGGAUCAGAAUGUCACGGUGAAUACGUUCCCGGGUCUU